Molecule: ribosomal RNA, 497 nt
Filed under: uncultured bacterium
Lineage: Bacteria
Description: partial 16S ribosomal RNA
Rfam family: Bacterial small subunit ribosomal RNA
Source: RNAcentral
GAUGAACGCUGGCGGCGUGCCUAAUACAUGCAAGUCGAGCGAACAGACGAGGAGCUCGCUCCUCGGACGUUAGCGGCGGACGGGUGAGUAACACGUGGAUACCCUACCUAUAAGACUGGGAUAACUUCGGAAAACCGAAGCUAAUACCGGAUCAUAUAUUGAACCGCAUGGUUCAAUAGUGAAAGACGGUUUUGCUGUCACUUAUAGAUGUAUCCGCGCCGCAUUAGCUAGUUGGUAAGGUAACGGCUUACCAAGGCAACGAUGCGUAGCCGACCUGGGAGGGUGAUCGGGCAAACUGGAACUGAGAAACGGUCCCGACUCCUACGGGAGGCAGCAGGAGGGAAUCUUCCGCAAUGGGCGAAAGCCCGACGGCACAACGCCGCGUGAGUGAUGAAGGUCUUCGGAUCGGAAAACUCUGUUAUGAGGGAAGAACAAAUGUGUAAGUAACUAUGCACGUCUUGACGGUACCUAAUCAGAAAGCCACCGCUAAAUACGUU